Molecule: non-coding RNA, 65 nt
Organism: Drosophila melanogaster (fruit fly)
Lineage: Eukaryota; Metazoa; Arthropoda; Insecta; Diptera; Drosophilidae
Source: Ensembl
GUAAGCAGUGUUUGAACUCGAUCUUGGUUCUUGGACUCUUGAUAAGCUCAAUUAACUGUUUGCAG